UGGCGAUCACGGGUAACGGGGAAUUAGGGUUCGAUUCCGGAGAGGGAGCCUGAGAAAUGGCUACCACAUCUAAGGAAGGCAGCAGGCGCGUAAAUUACCCAAUCCUAAUUCAGGGAGGUAGUGACAAGAAAUAACAACUCGGACCUCACUCGAGGUUACGAGAUUGCAAUGAGAACAAUUUAAACCUCUUAUCGAGUAACAAUUGGAGGGCAAGUCUGGUGCCAGCAGCCGCGGUAAUUCCAGCUCCAAUAGCGUAUAUUAAAGUUGUUGCAGUUAAAAAGCUCGUAGUUGAAUAUCUGGCCGGUGCUGUUCUCGGCUCCCUGAGUCGGCUCAGCGCCUGGUCAUCCGUAUGGGAAACUAGCUCGACCUUCACUGGUCGGCUAGUGGAUCAUACACUUUACUUUGAAAAAAUUAGAGUGUUUCAGGCAGGCAAUUGCUUGGAUACUGUAGCAUGGAAUAAUGGAAUAGGACUUUGACCUAUUUGUUGGUUUCUCGAGGUCAAAGUAAUGAUUAAUAGGGACAGUUGGGGGCAUUCGUAUUUAAUUGUCAGAGGUGAAAUUCUUGGAUUUUUUAAAGACGAACUUAUGCGAAAG
Molecule: ribosomal RNA, 593 nt
Filed under: uncultured ciliate
Lineage: Eukaryota; Ciliophora
Description: SSU rRNA
Rfam family: Eukaryotic small subunit ribosomal RNA
Source: RNAcentral